CAGGUGGUGCAUGGUUGUCGUCAGCUCGUGUCGUGAGAUGUUGGGUUAAGUCCCGCAACGAGCGCAACCCUUGUCUUUAGUUGCCAUCAUUAAGUUGGGCACUCUAGAGAGACUGCCAGGGAUAACCUGGAGGAAGGUGGGGAGGACGUCAAAUCAUCAUGCCCCUUAUGCUUAGGGCUACACACGUGCUACAAUGGGUAGUACAGAGGGUUGCCAAGCCGUAAGG
Molecule: ribosomal RNA, 226 nt
Filed under: Clostridioides difficile
Lineage: Bacteria; Bacillati; Bacillota; Clostridia; Peptostreptococcales; Peptostreptococcaceae
Description: partial 16S ribosomal RNA
Rfam family: Bacterial small subunit ribosomal RNA
Source: RNAcentral